GAUUAGGGUGGGUGAAUUCAAUUUUGGUAGUACGUGGGUCGGAUAGCGUGCCAGACUAAGUUUAGUGGUGACCGGGUGCUCAAUUUCUGGUAGAGACAAGAAAUUAAGAUGAGGAACAUGGCAAAAAAAGAAGAAGCAUUUUCGUUACUUGCUCACAUAUGAGGUUAGUAGCCAAAGCCAUUGUAAACGAUGGGGACAAGGGUGGAAACUAGCAGAUCGGGAAAGGAUUAGCCAAGCAAGAGAAAUGGGUCGUGUAGACAAAGGACCCAUAGAUGGGGUUGAGAAACCGGGGCUAUCUACCUCACAGUGAGUUUUGCAGGUCGCGUCUCGCAUGGCGGCGUGUGUAAUCGAGAAGCAAGCAAGUUUAAUAUUACACUAAUAUAAAAGUAAAAUCAUUGGUAUCUAGGAUUUAAUUGACACUGGUGGAGAAGAUGUGCCCAUCACAAGUAGUCGUUUUUCUUGAUUCUCAUGUUCAACCCUUUUUUUCUCAGAGAUUCAAGUAGCUUCAUUUGCUUAGAAAAUAGCAUGGUUAGAAACAAUGUGCAAGCAGGAAAAGAAAAAAAUCUAUACCAUCAAUUUUUG
RNAcentral lists this long non-coding RNA (582 nucleotides) under Setaria viridis. RNAcentral's name for it is "long non-coding RNA (SVIR_LNC009498)". Lineage: Eukaryota; Viridiplantae; Streptophyta; Magnoliopsida; Poales; Poaceae. The record is from RNAcentral.